Molecule: ribosomal RNA, 497 nt
Filed under: uncultured bacterium
Lineage: Bacteria
Description: partial 16S ribosomal RNA
Rfam family: Bacterial small subunit ribosomal RNA
Source: RNAcentral
GAUGAACGCUGGCGGUGUGCCUAAUACAUGCGAGUCGAGCGAAAAGACAAGGAGAUUGUUCUCUUGCCGUUAGCGACGGACGGGCGGGUAAGAAAUGGAUCACAAUCUUCUUAGUCUUGGAGAAUUUCGGAAAACAAGUGCCACUAAUGGCUCAUAUAUCGUACGGCUUGAAUCAGUAGUGCUUGACAGCUUUGCCGACACUAUUAGCUGGAGUCGCGCCGCAUUAGCUAGUUGGUAAGGUAACGGCCUACCAAGGCAACGAUGCGUAGCCGACCUGAGAGGAUGAUCGGCCACACUGGAACUGAGACACGGUCCAGACUCCUACGGGAGGCAGCAGUAGGGAAUCUUCCGCAAUGGGCGAAAGCCUGACCGAGCAACACCGCGUGAGUGAUGAAGGUCUUCGGGUCGUAAAACUCUGUUGUUAGGAAAGAACAGAAGUGUGUUAAACUAUGCACGUCUUGACGGUACCUAAACAGAAAGCCACGGCUAACUUCGUG